RNAcentral lists this ribosomal RNA (465 nucleotides) under uncultured bacterium. RNAcentral's name for it is "partial 16S ribosomal RNA". It matches the Rfam family "Bacterial small subunit ribosomal RNA", at positions 338 to 795 of the family's 1533-position model. The record is from RNAcentral.
CCUACGGGAGGCAGCAGUAGGGAAUCUUCCACAAUGGGCGAAAGCCUGAUGGAGCAACGCCGCGUGGGUGAAGAAGGUCUUCGGAUCGUAAAACCCUGUUGUUAGAGAAGAAAGUGCGUGAGAGUAACUGUUCACGUUUCGACGGUAUCUAACCAGAAAGCCACGGCUAACUACGUGCCAGCAGCCGCGGUAAUACGUAGGUGGCAAGCGUUAUCCGGAUUUAUUGGGCGUAAAGGGAACGCAGGCGGUCUUUUAAGUCUGAUGUGAAAGCUUUCGGCUUAACCGGAGUAGUGCAUUGGAAACUGGGAGACUUGAGUGCAGAAGAGGAGAGUGGAAAUCCAUGUGUAGCGGUGAAAUGCGUAGAUAUAUGGAAGAACACCAGUGGCGAAAGCGGCUCUCUGGUCUGUAACUGACGCUGAGGUUCGAAAGCGUGGGUAGCAAACAGGAUUAGAUACCCUGGUAGUC